AUUGAACGCUGGCGGCAUGCCUUACACAUGCAAGUCGAACGGCAGCACGGGAGCAAUCCCGGUUGCGAGCGGCGGACGGGUGAGUAAUAUAUCGGAACGUGCCCGGUAGUGGGGGAUAACGCACGGAAAGGUAUGCUAAUACCGCGUACGAUCUACGGGUGAAAGCGGGGGAUCGCCAGGCCUUGCGCUAUCAGAGGGGCCGAGAUCAGAUUAGCUAGUUGGUGAGGUAAAGGCUCACCAAGGCGACGAUCUGUAGCUGGUCUGAGAGGACGACCAGCCACACUGGAACUGAGACACGGUCCAGACUCCUACGGGAGGCAGCAGUGGGGAAUUUUGGACAAUGGGCGAAAGCCUGAUCCAGCAAUGCCGCGUGCAGGAUGAAGGCCUUCGGGUUGUAAACUGCUUUUGUACGGAACGAAACGGUGAGCUCUAAUACAGUUUGCUAAUGACGGAACCGUAAGAAUAAGCACCGGCUAACUACGUGCCAGCCGCCGCUGUAA
This 500-nucleotide ribosomal RNA is filed under the name uncultured bacterium. RNAcentral's name for it is "partial 16S ribosomal RNA". It matches the Rfam family "Bacterial small subunit ribosomal RNA", at positions 30 to 523 of the family's 1533-position model. The record is from RNAcentral.